AGACCAGCAAAUUUGUAGUUUACACAGCUUUUUUUUUUUUUUAACUAAACAUGAUUGUUUACGAAAAUUUGCAAAUGCCUGUUUGUUUCUUCACUUGAGAUAAAUGUUAACCAAUCGUUUGUUCUACUUGGAAGGAGGAGGCUAUUACAAAAAGAAAACCUCCCGAAGCUGCGUGCUUGAGGAAGAGGAUGAUCACCCGGGAUAGAGAAGGAUCUUAAAGGAGUAGCUGCGCUUCCCUUGCUAGAACCUCCAAACAAGUUAUCAAAACUGAGCAACAAAACAAAGUUGCCAAAAUUCAGGCAGAGGAAGAUGGCUUUGGUGAACUCGCAUGCGGAACAAAAGGGCAAGAAGCUGAAAAGCAGCAAGAAUUCCAGUACAAGUGAGAUCUACUCAGAAACAAACAACUGCCUUGAAUCUCAGACCAGCUUCCUCUGACUGCACUUCCAGAAUGCUACAAGCAAGUUUUACAGUCUAGAAAUGAGACUGGAGGAUACUUUCCUAGGAUGGUGGUUAACAUUUAAUUAUUAUUAAAUAUAAAAUGUAACUAAAUUGCAAAUGUUUUAAUGAAGUGAAUGUUUCUCCCCUUAAUUCAUAAUAUCUAUGAAUGAACAAUUGUUCUUCUCCAGUACAGAGGACUUGUCUUAGUCACUUUUCUCACUGAAAAUAUUCAACAUUCAUAAGUUAAAGGAGGAAAGAUUUAUUUUGGUCAGUUUGUAGAGGUUUCAGUCCAUAGCUAGUUAGCUCCAAGGCAGGAUAGAUGGCAGAAGACAGUUUAUGGAGGAAGAAGUCAGUAAACAGCUGGUAGCAAGGUGGUGACCCUGCCUUUCCCUUUUAUCCCAUUCAGGCUAUAAGCCUUUGGUUGGUAUCCCACAUACCCAGGAUGCGGAUUCUGUCUUCAGUGAGUCCAUUCACCCACACCAAGAAUUAUGGUACUUACAAUUGAUGGACUAAUCUAGUACCACACAUCACUAAUCCCCAGUAUCAAACACUCUAGACUCAGCCAUCUCCCAAAACCCCUGCUAUGACUUCAUGUGGCUUUUUGGGGGGCACAUCUAGAUACAAGUUAUAAUAGAAACUAACUUAGGGCCUUUCUCCCCAAGAUACAGCCAGUUUUUAUUUUGAGACAAGUUCUCCCUAAAUUGCCCAGAUUGGGGUCAAAUUCAAGAUUCUCCUAACUCAGCCUACCACAGAGCUGGGAUUACAGACAUGUAUCACCGUUCCUGACGGUAAAUCUUACUUCUAAAAUGAAUAGGGUUAACUAUCAUUUCAUCUUAUUGUUUGGUUUUCAGAUAUAUUAAGAAAAUUUGUUCACAUAAAUAAGUAGAUAUGAAUUUAAGGGAUUUUAUUCUGGCCUUAGUUCCUUAUGAAUUAAACAUAAAAAUGAAUGAUUUAUUAUUAAGCAUUAUUUUUAACUGUUUAUCAGUUAACAGCUAGCUUCUGCCUAAAUAGGGGUAAAAGCAAAAACUACAAACUUUACUGGAAAAGGGCUCAUUACCAGCUAGAAAAAUGAUAGUUUCCUUCAAUGGUAUACUUUCUCCUAGAGGUGCUCUAACUCAGUUACUCAGAAAGGUCUGGGAAAAUAAAAAUGUUAAUUUUAUGCACCUUUUCCCCACAUAAUUACUGGUAAUUUUUUUGAUACUUUGGAGUAGACAGAAGUCUCUACAAUGAAAGCCUUGGCAUUUCUUUCUAAAGCUCUUUGCUUUGUUUUCAGGGAUUUGUUUUAAUAAUUAUGGGGAAUGGGACAAAGCCUUUAAAACAAAUAUUUACAAUUGUCCUUUUUGUGGGCAUGUUGAAGAUAUUUACACACUGAAGUAAGACUAUGUUGUGGUACUAUUAUACUACAAAUGAAUUGUUCUUUGUGAAAGAUCUGGGAAGUACAAACUAGCAUUAUGCUACAUUCAUAAGCAGUUCAGUUUUGAGAAACAAACAUAAACAUGGAAAAUGAUGAUCUGGAAAAUUAGUCCCUUAAAACUAUCCAUGCUUGUAUAUCUGUUGGAAGAGAUACUUAUGCCAUUCCCAAUUUGAAGGGCACUGACUCACACCAAGAAAUUGGAGACUACUAUAUCCAGAAAGUUGGGGAUUAUUACAAGGUAAUGAGAAGCAGUGGGCAGACCUAGAGAACAAUCAGACAAAAGACUCUAGAACAGAGGUCUGCAAAGGAAAGACGGUACUGAGCAAGGUGUUGUAUCUUGGAAUCUAGGGUUUCUGUUCUUCACCAUUAUUUAUGACCAUAUGACUUGGUAAAGCUUAGUGGUUAACUGGCUGAGAAAGAAAACAUGGGACAAGAGAAUAUGACGUUAUCAGAUGGAAGGCACUUAUUAAAAAUGGAUAUACUUGGAUUAGAAACACAUCCUCCCAGGAAAUAUUAUGCAUGUCCCCCCCCCCAAAAAAAAGAAAGGAAGGGGAGAGAGAGAUGGGAGAAGAGGGAGGGAGGAAAGGGAAAGCAGAGGUAAAAAGGAAGUAAGAUAUGUCAUGUAUAUGGACCAACUUCC
Cavia porcellus (domestic guinea pig) is the source of this 2492-nucleotide long non-coding RNA. RefSeq lists it as uncharacterized. The record is from RefSeq and is a predicted model, not a curated record. NCBI's taxonomy places the organism in Eukaryota, Metazoa, Chordata, Mammalia, Rodentia, Caviidae. The transcript is spliced from 3 exons.